CAAAUGACUCUCGGCAAUGGAUAUCUCGGCUCUUGCAUCGAUGAAGAACGUAGUGAAAUGCGAUACUUGGUGUGAAUUGCAGAAUCUCGUCAACCAUUGAGUCUUUGAACGCAAGUUGUGCCCGAGGCCUUCUGGCCAAGGGCACGCCUGCUUGGGCGU
This 159-nucleotide ribosomal RNA is filed under the name Plagiostachys lasiophylla. RNAcentral describes it as "5.8S ribosomal RNA". It matches the Rfam family "5.8S ribosomal RNA". Rfam says of the family: 5.8S ribosomal RNA (5.8S rRNA) is a component of the large subunit of the eukaryotic ribosome. The record is from RNAcentral. Lineage: Eukaryota; Viridiplantae; Streptophyta; Magnoliopsida; Zingiberales; Zingiberaceae.